This 496-nucleotide ribosomal RNA is filed under the name uncultured bacterium. RNAcentral describes it as "partial 16S ribosomal RNA". It matches the Rfam family "Bacterial small subunit ribosomal RNA", at positions 28 to 507 of the family's 1533-position model. The record is from RNAcentral.
GACGAACGCUGGCGGCGUGCCUAAUACAUGCAAGUCGAACGCUGAAGGAGGAGCUUGCUCUUCUUGGAUGAGUUGCGAACGGGUGAGUAACGCGUAGGUAACCUGCCUGGUAGCGGGGGAUAACUAUUGGAAACGAUAGCUAAUACCGCAUAAUAGUAGAUGUUGCAUGACAUUUGCUUAAAAGGUGCAAUUGCAUCACUACCAGAUGGACCUGCGUUGUAUUAGCUAGUUGGUGAGGUAACGGCUCACCAAGGCAACGAUACAUAGCCGACCUGAGAGGGUGAUCGGCCACACUGGGACUGAGACACGGCCCAGACUCCUACGGGAGGCAGCAGUAGGGAAUCUUCGGCAAUGGACGGAAGUCUGACCGAGCAACGCCGCGUGAGUGAAGAAGGUUUUCGGAUCGUAAAGCUCUGUUGUAAGAGAAGAACGAGUGUGAGAGUGGAAAGUUCACACUGUGACGGUAUCUUACCAGAAAGGGACGGCUAACUACGUG